This 253-nucleotide ribosomal RNA is filed under the name uncultured bacterium. Its description in RNAcentral is "partial 16S ribosomal RNA". It matches the Rfam family "Bacterial small subunit ribosomal RNA", at positions 524 to 776 of the family's 1533-position model. The record is from RNAcentral.
UACGGAGGGUGCAAGCGUUAUCCGGAUUUAUUGGGUUUAAAGAGUACGUAGGCGGCUUUAUAAGUCAGUGGUGAAAUCCUAUAGCUUAACUAUAGAACUGCCAUUGAUACUGUGAAGCUUGAGUAAAGAAAAGGUAGGCGGAAUUUAUGGUGUAGCGGUGAAAUGCUUAGAUACCAUAAGGAACACCGAUAGCGAAGGCAGCUUACUGGUCUUUCACUGACGCUGAGGUACGAAAGCGUGGGUAGCAAACAGG